Molecule: non-coding RNA, 27 nt
Filed under: Rattus norvegicus (Norway rat)
Lineage: Eukaryota; Metazoa; Chordata; Mammalia; Rodentia; Muridae
Source: RNAcentral
UAAACUUCCUAUCACAGGACCCUGAAG